GGAUGGGCGGGGUGCUUACCAUGGCAGUCGAACGAAGCACCUGAGAAUGAUUCUUCGGAUGAAGUCUCUUGUGACUGAGUGGCGGACGGGUGAGUAACGCGUGGGUAACCUGCCUCACACAGGGGGAUAACAGUUGGAAACGACCGCUAAUACCGCAUAACCCGCUGGUGCCGCAUGGCACUGACGGAAAAGAUUUUAUCGGUGUGAGAUGGACCCGCGUCUGAUUAGCCAGUUGGCAGGGUAACGGCCUACCAAAGCGACGAUCAGUAGCCGGCCUGAGAGGGUGAACGGCCACAUUGGGACUGAGACACGGCCCAGACUCCUGCGGGAGGCAGCAGUGGGGAAUAUUGCACAAUGGGGGAAACCCUGAUGCAGCGACGCCGCGUGAGUGAAGAAGUAUUUCGGUAUGUAAAGCUCUAUCAGCAGGGAAGAAAAUGACGGUACCUGAUUAAGAAGCCCCGGCUAACUACGUGCCAGCAGCCGCGGUAAUACGUAGGGGGCAAGCGUUAUCCGGAUUUACUGGGUGUAAAGGGAGCGUAGACGGUGAUGCAAGUCAGAAGUGAAAGCCCGGGGCUCAACUCCGGGACUGCUUUUGAAACUGUGUGACUGGAGUGCAGGAGAGGUAAGCGGAAUUCCUGGUGUAGCGGUGAAAUGCGUAGAUAUCAGGAGGAACACCAGUGGCGAAGGCGGCUCUCUGGACUGUAACUGACGUUGAGGCUCGAAAGCGUGNGGAGCAAACAGGAUUAGAUACCCUGGUAGUCCACGCCGUANACGAUGAAUAUUANGUGUCGGGGAGCAAA
This 800-nucleotide ribosomal RNA is filed under the name uncultured bacterium. RNAcentral's name for it is "bacterial SSU rRNA". It matches the Rfam family "Bacterial small subunit ribosomal RNA", at positions 31 to 834 of the family's 1533-position model. The record is from RNAcentral.